Molecule: ribosomal RNA, 464 nt
Filed under: uncultured bacterium
Lineage: Bacteria
Description: partial 16S ribosomal RNA
Rfam family: Bacterial small subunit ribosomal RNA
Source: RNAcentral
GACGAACGCUGGCGGCGUGCCUAACACAUGCAAGUCGAGCGAAUGAAGUUCCUUCGGGAACGGAUUUAGCGGCGGACAGGUGAGUAACACGUGGGCAACCUGCCUCAUAGAGGGGAAUAGCCUUCCGAAAGGGAGAUUAAUACCGCAUAAGAUUGUAGUACCGCAUGGUACAGCAAUUAAAGGAGCAAUCCGCUAUGAGAUGGGCCCGCGGCGCAUUAGCUAGUUGGUGAGGUAACGGCUCACCAAGGCGACGAUGCGUAGCCGACCUGAGAGGGUGAUCGGCCACAUUGGGACUGAGACACGGCCCAGACUCCUACGGGAGGCAGCAGUGGGGAAUAUUGCACAAUGGGGGAAACCCUGAUGCAGCAACGCCGCGUGAGUGAUGACGGCCUUCGGGUUGUAAAGCUCUGUCUUCAGGGACGAUAAUGACGGUACCUGAGGAGGAAGCCACGGCUAACUACGUG